GUGGCGGGCCCUAUCACUGGCGAGCGUUUGGGUCCCUCUCGGGGGAACUGAGCUAGUAGCCUCUCUUUUAAACCCAUUCUGUAAUACUGAACAUACUGUGGGGACGAAAGUCUCUGCUUUUAACUAGAUAGCAACUUUCAGCAGUGGAUGUCUAGGCUCGCACAUCGAUGAAGAACGCUGCGAACUGCGAUACGUAAUGCGAAUUGCAGGAUUCAGUGAGUCAUCGAAAUUUUGAACGCAUAUUGCACUUCCGGGUUAGUCCUGGGAGUAUGCCUGUAUCAGUGUCCGUACAUCAAACUUGGCUCUCUUCCUUCCGUGUAGUCGGUGGAUGGAGGUGCCAGACGUGAGGUGUCUUGCGGGCGGUCUUCGGACUGGCUGUGAGUCCCUUGAAAUGUACUGAACUGUACUUCUCUUUGCUCGAAAAGCGUGACGUUGCUGGUUGUGGAGGCUGCCUGUAUGGCCAGUCGGCGACCGGUUUGUCUGCUGCGGCGUUUAAUGGAGGAGUGUUCGAUUCGCGGUAUGGUUGGCUUCGGCUGAACAAAGCGCUUAUUGGAUGUUCUUCCUGCUGUGGCGGUACGGAUCGGUGAACCGUAGCUGUGCUAGGCUUGGCGUUUGAACCGGCGGUGU
Molecule: unclassified non-coding RNA, 627 nt
Filed under: Phytophthora cinnamomi
Lineage: Eukaryota; Oomycota; Peronosporomycetes; Peronosporales; Peronosporaceae
Description: sequence contains ITS1, 5.8S rRNA gene, ITS2
Rfam family: 5.8S ribosomal RNA (bases 133-287)
Source: RNAcentral